Molecule: long non-coding RNA, 1672 nt
Organism: Equus asinus (donkey)
Lineage: Eukaryota; Metazoa; Chordata; Mammalia; Perissodactyla; Equidae
Source: Ensembl
AGCCCUGCUCAUUUCUCUUUGGCGUUCUCUCUGGCCACCAGGUUUUCUGGGACUUGGUCUUUAUUUUAAACAGUUUGUAGAUAGAGACGAUGGAAUUUUGAAGUUAAUAGAAAGAAGCUGCAGUGACACUAUUAAUCCAAGAAAAAGUCUGCCAAACCUUACUUUACACUUUGAGAAAAUGUUUUGCUUGUUUUCAGUCUGGCCUCAUCACAGUCAUUUUGAACACACACACACACACACACACACAUACACUGUAGUGGGUUGAAUGGUGGCCCCUCAAAAGAUACAUUCACCUGGAACUUGUGAAUGUGACUCUAUUUAGAAAAAUGGUUUUUGCAGAUCUAAUAAGGAUCCUGAAAUGAGAUCAACCUGGAUUAUCCAGGUGGGCCCUAUAGCUAAUGACAAGUGUAGUAUAAGAGACAAGAGAAGACACGGGAGGGCAGAAGGCAAUGUGAAGACAGAGGCAAAGACUGGAGUGAUGCAACUGCAAGCCAAAGAAUCCCUGGAGCUGUCAGAGAUUGGAAGAGGCGAGGAAGCUUCUCCCCUGAGUCUUCAGAGGGAGCACAAGCCUGCCGACACGGUGAUUUUGGACUUCUGGCCUCCAGAACGACCAAGAAUCUCAGAUGGACAUUUUAAAGUAGAACAUAGGAUGAACUGGUUACCCCGGAAACCAGGGAAGGAAAAAAAAACCGAUCCAAGUGCAGUGUUAAUAAACAGCUUAGCGUGCAAAAAUAUAAUAGAAGAACGUUCCAGGUUACUCUGCUGCUGUCUUGGUUUUGGGGCCAAUGAAAAUGUCACCCCCUCAGUGAGACUUCUCCUGUUUCCCCAGCAAAAUUCGUCACUGUACCCUCUGGGCUUCCAUCAUAAGAUUGUCAAGAAAUUAUCCCAAGUUGGAUGGACAGGACUGUUCCAGCUGAGGCUUUCGUAGCUGUGUAUUAUAUGGGUACAUUCCAGUGUCUGCAAGGAAAUUUCUUACAGGUCGUGAGGGAACACACAAUGUCUGUGGCAUCAUCUUUACAUUCUGUUAAACAAAUGGCCUCCUUUAUAUUCAUUUGAAUUGAGAAACAGCCAUGUCAUAUUCAAAUGUUUUAAAAAGCAAAUUUUGGAAGUUAUUACAAAAUGUGUGUGUGUUUGACAUUUGUAAAUGCUGAUUGGAAGAGAAAUUUUAAACCAACCUCUGGAAGGAUGACAAAGAAUUAAGGAUCUAAGGUUGAAAAAAAAAAAACAACAACAUUCAGACAUCACUGGACAGUUGUACUAACUGUGGACAGGAUGGCAAAUACUCCUUGAAAUGGACGGGGCUGCUGAAGCUCCCCCUGUGUGUGGUGACAGAGCAGGGAGGCAAGCCAACUUUUGGGACCUGAGCGCAUGAUCUUUUCACGAUUCUGUGUUGUAUCCAAGAGUUGGCUGGGGUCAUGACACUGCCUUAUUUGGCUAUGACCUCUCAGGCAAAGCAUUUAACCCGAGUUUCGUAAUCUGUGAAAUAAAAGGGGCUCAACUAGACACUCCUUAGACCUAACAUUUUGAGUCUAGUUUCGCAUAGAAAUACCUCCACAGUGAAAGGUUGCGGGCUGCGUGCCCUACGGCGGGAGCCUGAAUGAAAUCUCUCUUCCUCUGCUCUUCCUUUUCUUUCUCCGGUGAAAGGGGAAUAGUCAUGCUCAUGUGUAAUAAA